This 207-nucleotide ribosomal RNA is filed under the name uncultured Anaerolineaceae bacterium. Its description in RNAcentral is "partial 16S ribosomal RNA". It matches the Rfam family "Bacterial small subunit ribosomal RNA", at positions 568 to 774 of the family's 1533-position model. Lineage: Bacteria; Bacillati; Chloroflexota; Anaerolineae; Anaerolineales; Anaerolineaceae. The record is from RNAcentral.
CGUGUAGGCGGCACGAUAAGUUGGAUGUGAAAGCUCCCGGCUAAACUGGGAGAGGGCGUUCAAUACUGUCGAGCUUGAGGAUGGGAGAGGGAGGUGGAAUUCCGGGUGUAGUGGUGAAAUGCGUAGAUAUCCGGAGGAACACCAGUGGCGAAGGCGGCCUCCUGGCCCAUUUCUGACGCUCAGACGCGAAAGCUAGGGUAGCAAACG